Molecule: ribosomal RNA, 351 nt
Filed under: Triticum aestivum (bread wheat)
Lineage: Eukaryota; Viridiplantae; Streptophyta; Magnoliopsida; Poales; Poaceae
Description: partial small subunit ribosomal RNA
Source: RNAcentral
AUGUCGCUUGGCUAUCUAUUUGAAAAAAUCCUAGUUUUUGCCCCAAAAGACACAUAUAAUAUAUAUGUUGUCUUCUGUAGGAAGGAAAAAAAAGGAAAACAACAAAAAAAUGUCUAUUUUCUUUACAGCAAAGGAAAAAAGAAAACCAUAAAACAAAGUCUGUUCACUUUGUGGCUUGCGUGGUGUUUUGCUUACUUGUUUAUUCAUGAAAAGAAAAGCACAAAAAAAGGUCUUGGAGUCUUGCAACCAUUUGCUUUGUGUGUAUGUGCAUGUGUGUCUUGUUCUUUGGUUUUGGGGGGUUCGAUGUUUAUAGAGGGGGGCGGGGGUGUAACUCCGCCUAUGUUAACAUGA